CAUUCAAAUGGAAAUGAUGCCUUCAACAAAUUCAUCAGUUGACAUGUUUGCAACCUUACCUGGAAUGCGAGGGGAGCAUUUGUCGAAUGACCAAUCUGACAUAUAUAUAGAUUAUGGUGAAUUUGGCAAUAUAGCAGGAUUUUAGCAAUAUGGACAAACUAUGACAACACCAUGGGAAGGUGGG
Long non-coding RNA from Vitis riparia (riverbank grape), 184 nucleotides. RefSeq lists it as uncharacterized. Lineage: Eukaryota; Viridiplantae; Streptophyta; Magnoliopsida; Vitales; Vitaceae. The transcript is spliced from 3 exons. The record is from RefSeq and is a predicted model, not a curated record.